GGCCCCAUCGUCCAGCGGAGAGGACACCGGAUUUUCGAUCCGACAACCGGGGUUCGAUUCCCCGUGGGGUCACCA
RNAcentral lists this transfer RNA (75 nucleotides) under Candidatus Brocadiaceae bacterium. RNAcentral describes it as "tRNA-Glu". It matches the Rfam family "tRNA". From Rfam's summary of the family: Transfer RNA (tRNA) molecules are approximately 80 nucleotides in length. Their secondary structure includes four short double-helical elements and three loops (D, anti-codon, and T loops). The record is from RNAcentral. Lineage: Bacteria; Pseudomonadati; Planctomycetota; Candidatus Brocadiia; Candidatus Brocadiales; Candidatus Brocadiaceae.